CCGUAGGGUGACCUGCGGAGGGAUCAUUGCUGG
RNAcentral lists this ribosomal RNA (33 nucleotides) under Cytospora schulzeri. RNAcentral describes it as "partial 18S ribosomal RNA". Lineage: Eukaryota; Fungi; Ascomycota; Sordariomycetes; Diaporthales; Cytosporaceae. The record is from RNAcentral.